Long non-coding RNA from Hibiscus syriacus, 904 nucleotides. RefSeq lists it as uncharacterized. Lineage: Eukaryota; Viridiplantae; Streptophyta; Magnoliopsida; Malvales; Malvaceae. The record is from RefSeq and is a predicted model, not a curated record. The transcript is spliced from 6 exons.
UUGAAACUGCAUGAUGAUUUCAUGAGCCUGCCUAUAUCUGAGUUUAAGAAUUGCAGCAGUCUGCCUAAGUAAUCUAUUAGUUUUCACAAGGCAAAACAAUUAGUUCAUGAUUCCUGGUUCUUUCAAAUGGCUUUUAGCAUGUAACCUUUGAAGAAACUGGUAGAAGGCGAAAAUGAUAAGCGGAGUUCAGAUGCAACAUUUUCCGGAGAAUGCUAUUAUAUUGCUCCUGAGUUAUGGACCAUGCAUGGAGACUUCUGAUCAAGUGGUUCAGAAAAAUGAGGGACUUGAAUCUUCAGUUCGUCGACCCAAUGAUUACGGGCUCUCUAUCCUUGGCGGGGAGAUGAAGGGUGAAGAAUUGGUAAUCCAUGGUGAGGAGAUGAAGGGUGAAGAAUUCGAAAUCCAUGAUGAGGAGAUGAAGGGUGAAGAAUUCGUAAUCCAUGGCGAGGAGAUGAAAGGAGGGUCAUGAUGAUGUAUAUAUUGAUGGAAUACCGAUCUUGAAUCUCGGUGAAGAAAUGGCUAAAAGAGGGAUAAAUCCUGGUGGUAAGAUGUCAGCAGCAUCAAAGAAUCACAACUAGCAUCAGUUGAGCAGAGACAAGGCGCUCAUGCAGUUUUUCCCAGAAAUCGAUUCAAAAUACGAAGGAAUCACAUUCUAGAAGAUGCUUUUAAUCAGAUGAGUGCAUUGUCUGAAGAAGAUUUUAAAGGAUUGAUUCGUGUAACAUUUGUCAAUGAAUUUGGAUUGGAGGAGGCUGGUAUUGAUGGUGGUGGAAUUUUCAAAGAUUUAUGGAAAAUAUUACUCGGGAUGCAUUUGAUGUGCAAUAUGGGUUAUUUAAGUUUGCAGUCUGGUAAUGUAGAACCAUAGUAGGCUCUCUACAGGCCAAAAUAAGAUCUGGAGGAAGAGAUUGGU